GAUGAACGCUGGCGGCGUGCCUAAUACAUGCCAGUCGAGCGAACGGACGAGAAGCUUGCUUCUCUGAUGUUAGCGGCGGACGGGUGAGUAACACGUGUAUAACCUACCUAUAAGACUGGGAUAACUUCGGGAAACCGUAGCUAAUACCGGAUAAUAUUUUGAACCGCAUGGUUCAAAAGUGAAAGACGGUCUUUCUGUCACUUCUAGAUGGAUCCGCGCUGCAUUAGCUAGUUGGUAAGGUAACGGCUUACCAAGGCAACGAUGCAUAGCCGACCUGAGAGGGUGAUCGGCCGCACUGGAACUGAGACACGGUCCAGACGCCUACGGGAGGCAGCAGUAGGGAAUCUGCCGCAAUGGGCGAAAGCCUGACGGAGCAACGCCGCGUGAGUGAUGAAGGUCUUCGGAUCGUAAAACUCUGUUAUUAGGGAAGAACAGAUGUGUAAGUAACUGUGCACAUCUUGACGGUACCUAAUCAGAAAGCCACGGCUAACUACGUG
This 497-nucleotide ribosomal RNA is filed under the name uncultured bacterium. RNAcentral's name for it is "partial 16S ribosomal RNA". It matches the Rfam family "Bacterial small subunit ribosomal RNA", at positions 28 to 507 of the family's 1533-position model. The record is from RNAcentral.